ACUCCAUAAGUGUUUAAACCUAUUUAAUCAUUUUUAUGAGAGCAUGUGAUUUAUACAUUAUAUUAUAAAGAGAUCAAAUCAUAUUUUAUUUUUACAUGGAAAGAAAGAAAUCAUGGCUAAAAUUAUGAAGUUUGUUUAUAAUAUGAUUCCAUUUCUGUCCAUAUUUAUUAUCACUUUACAAGUUAAUGGAGUUGUUGUAUGUGAAAUUGAUGCCGAUUGUCCACAAAUUUGUAUGCCUCCUUAUGAAGUAAGGUGUGUUAACCACCGUUGUGGAUGGGUUAACACCGACGAUUCCUUGUUUUUGACCCAAGAGUUUACUAGAUCUAAGCAAUAUAUUAUAUCUUAGAAUAUUUUGUGCGGUGUCAUUUUGUUACUAUGCUAAUGAUUAUGCUGAAUAAAGUAGAUUUUUUGUACCACAUGAUUUAUUCCUUGUUUAUUUCAUGGUUGAACAUAGGUAGUCAUUUCUGUGCAUUUUUGGAGUUGGAAAUAGGGAGAUAAGACUAAAAUUGUAAAAAAUAUGGUAGGACCAAUUUCGUGAGUUGGUCAAAAUCCAAGGACCAAAAAUGUAAUUAAACCUAUUUAUUUCUAUUUCUUUACGGAUUUCACAAAAUUCAUCAUUAUAUUUUAACUGUAAUGAACUCACUCAACAAAUAUACGCGACAAAAACAAAAGUUGGAGUUUAGCCAUGGUUUUCAUCAUAACCGUUCAAUAGAAGAGUGUGAUUUUUUAUUUUUUUUUAACUAUGGUAUUCCCUUAUGUAAAUUCUCUUAUAAAUUGGUAAAAAAAAUAAAAAUAUAACUCAUUGGCUUGAAGAGUAAAUUCUCGUAUUAUUUUUUUAAGGAGAGAGUAACUUCUCUUAUGAAAAUGUUAAAAUAAUAACAAAAUGUUGGAUAAAAAAAAUGAAUUCAUAUGAUUAGAUUUUCUUAAUUCAAAACUCCUUAUUAAGUGUGUUAAAGGGACAAUCACAAGUAGUUGAUGCCAUAAAAAAAAUCUCAAAACAUCCCUUGAAUUGCUUUAAAGAAUGGUGGGUAAUUUACCCACCAACCAAUGAAAAUGAGCAAUUUGUUGGUGGGGUCAAGAUAGUUCAUGGAUAACACUUAAAAAUGUGCUUAUGUGGCUAAUGUGUAUUGGUUGAGGUAAAUUACCCACCAUUCUUCCAUGAGUACCCUAGUUAUCACCUUCAUUUAUUGGCUUUAAUUUUUUUUAGGAAAACGUAGGCAUUAUUCAGUAUAAAUAUAUGAAACCAUAUUCUAAUUUUUACUUGCAAGGAAGGAAAAAAAUGACUAAAAUUGUUGUGUUUAUUUAUGUUGUGAUUCUACUUCUCACCAUAUUUCAUGUCUCAGCAAAAAAAAAAAGAUAUAUUGAAUGUGAAACUCAUGAAGAUUGUUCACAAGUGUUUAUGCCACCUUUUGUCAUGAGGUGUGUUAUUCACGAGUGUAAAAUCUUUAACGGUGAACACCUAAGGUACUAGACCUGAGAGAAUACGA
Molecule: RNA transcript, 1487 nt
Organism: Medicago truncatula (barrel medic)
Lineage: Eukaryota; Viridiplantae; Streptophyta; Magnoliopsida; Fabales; Fabaceae
Exons: 3
Source: RefSeq, a predicted model, not a curated record